UUUUUGGGCUUGGUAAUUGGAAUAAGGGAGAGUUAAACGGACCAUCGAGUAUCCAUUGGAGGGCAAGUCUGGUGCCAGCAGCUGCGGUAAUACCAGCUCCAAUUGCGUAUAUUAAAGUUGUUGCAGUUAAAAAGCUCGUAGUUGGACUUGUGUGCGCUGUCCGCGGGUGGCCUGCGCCCAAAAGGGCGUUUCGGUUCGGCCCCGGUGGCGCCUUGAAAUCUGCAGCUGGGGGGACGUUGGCCUUAACUGGUCGGCGACCGCACGCCGGCUGCUCGGUUACUGUGAGAAAAUUAGAGUGUUCAAGGCAGGCAUUGGGUGCAAUUGAAUACAUUAGCAUGGAAUAAUAAAAUAUGGCUCCUGCCGUAUUUUGUUGGUUUUGACUGGUGGGAGUAAUGAUUGAUAGGGACGGUUGGGGGUGCUAGCAUUGAGCGGCCAGAGGUGAAAUUCAUGGAUUCGCUCAAGACUAACUUAUGCGAAAGCAUUCACCAAGGACGUCCUCUUUAAUCAAGAACGAAAGUUGGGGGAUCGAAGACGAUCAGAUACCGUCGUAGUCUCAACCAUAAACUAUGUCGACUUGGGAUCGGCGGUAGUUUUUUCAUUAAGACACUGUCGGGACCACGGGAGAAAUCAAAGUGUCUGGACUCUGGGGGAAGUAUGGUCGCAAGGCUGAAACUUGAAGGAAUUGACGGAAGGGCACCACCAGGAGUGGAGCCUGCGGCUUAAUUUGACACAACACGGGGUAACUUACCAGGUCCAGAGAUGUAGAGGAUUGACAGAUUGAAGCUCUUUCUUGAUCACUUCGGUGGUGGUGCAUGGCCGUUCUUAGUUGGUGGAGUGAUUUGUCUGGUUAAUUCCGUUAACGAACGAGACCUCAGCCUGCUAGUGUAUUCGGCUGGAUUGCCUUUGGCGAUCCGUGAUUUCGACUUCUUAGAGGGACAAUCGACGCGCAGUCGAUGGAAGUUUGAGGCAAUAACAGGUCUGUGAUGCCCUUAGAUGUUCUGGGCCGCACGCGCGCUACACUGCUGGGCUCAGCGAGUUUUACUUGGCCGAGAGGCCCGGUUAAUCUUGUGAAAUCCCAGCGUGCUUGGGCUCGCCUCCUGCAACUGGAGGCGCCAACGAGGAAUUCCUAGUAGACGCAGGUCAUCAACCUGCAUCGAUUACGUCCCUGCCCUUUGUACACACCGCCCGUCGUUCCAUAAGAGUGAGGCAUCCGGUGAAUUCUCGGGAGAGCCUGGGCGUGGCCAGCAAUGGUCUGCUCGGGUUUGAACUUGCAUAAACUUGGUGCCUAUGAUUAGGG
RNAcentral lists this ribosomal RNA (1297 nucleotides) under metagenome. Its description in RNAcentral is "SSU rRNA". It matches the Rfam family "Eukaryotic small subunit ribosomal RNA", at positions 493 to 1783 of the family's 1831-position model. The record is from RNAcentral.